RNAcentral lists this ribosomal RNA (1343 nucleotides) under uncultured bacterium. RNAcentral's name for it is "16S ribosomal RNA". It matches the Rfam family "Bacterial small subunit ribosomal RNA", at positions 28 to 1378 of the family's 1533-position model. The record is from RNAcentral.
GACGAACGCUGGCGGCGUGCUUAACACAUGCAAGUCGAACGGAAAGGCCCUGCUUUUGUGGGGUGCUCGAGUGGCGAACGGGUGAGUAACACGUGAGUAACCUGCCCUUGACUUUGGGAUAACUUCAGGAAACUGGGGCUAAUACCGGAUAGGAGCUCCUGCUGCAUGGUGGGGGUUGGAAAGUUUCGGCGGUUGGGGAUGGACUCGCGGCUUAUCAGCUUGUUGGUGGGGUAGUGGCUUACCAAGGCUUUGACGGGUAGCCGGCCUGAGAGGGUGACCGGCCACAUUGGGACUGAGAUACGGCCCAGACUCCUACGGGAGGCAGCAGUGGGGAAUAUUGCACAAUGGGCGGAAGCCUGAUGCAGCAACGCCGCGUGCGGGAUGACGGCCUUCGGGUUGUAAACCGCUUUCGCCUGUGACGAAGCGUGAGUAACGGUAAUGGGUAAAGAAGCACCGGCUAACUACGUGCCAGCAGCCGCGGUGAUACGUAGGGUGCGAGCGUUGUCCGGAUUUAUUGGGCGUAAAGGGCUCGUAGGUGGUUGAUCGCGUCGGAAGUGUAAUCUUGGGGCUUAACCCUGAGCGUGCUUUCGAUACGGGUUGACUUGAGGAAGGUAGGGGAGAAUGGAAUUCCUGGUGGAGCGGUGGAAUGCGCAGAUAUCAGGAGGAACACCAGUGGCGAAGGCGGUUCUCUGGGCCUUUCCUGACGCUGAGGAGCGAAAGCGUGGGGAGCGAACAGGCUUAGAUACCCUGGUAGUCCACGCUGUAAACGGUGGGUACUAGGUGUGGGGUCCAUUCCACGGGUUCCGUGCCGUAGCUAACGCUUUAAGUACCCCGCCUGGGGAGUACGGCCGCAAGGCUAAAACUCAAAGGAAUUGACGGGGCCCCGCACGAGCGGCGGAGCAUGCGGAUUAAUUCGAUGCAACGCGUAGAACCUUACCUGGGUUUGACAUGGAUCGGGAGCGCUCAGAGAUGGGUGUGCCUCUUUUGGGGUCGGUUCACAGGUGGUGCAUGGCUGUCGUCAGCUCGUGUCGUGAGAUGUUGGGUUAAGUCCCGCAACGAGCGCAACCCUUGUUCACUGUUGCCAGCACGUUAUGGUGGGGACUCAGUGGAGACCGCCGGGGUCAACUCGGAGGAAGGUGGGGAUGACGUCAAGUCAUCAUGCCCCUUAUGUCCAGGGCUUCACGCAUGCUACAAUGGCUGGUACAGAGAGUGGCGAGCCUGUGAGGGUGAGCGAAUCUCGGAAAGCCGGUCUCAGUUCGGAUUGGGGUCUGCAACUCGACCUCAUGAAGUCGGAGUCGCUAGUAAUCGCAGAUCAGCAACGCUGCGGUGAAUACGUUCCCGGG